Molecule: long non-coding RNA, 412 nt
Organism: Mastomys coucha (southern multimammate mouse)
Lineage: Eukaryota; Metazoa; Chordata; Mammalia; Rodentia; Muridae
Exons: 3
Source: RefSeq, a predicted model, not a curated record
AGGGAUCGCCUGUUGUGAGUAUCUUGCUCUGCCACCUGAGGCUACAGUGACAUCUCAGCCCGUGAUGCUGCUGAGGACCAUGCCUGGGUCCACAGCCGUUCAGCAUCAGAUGCAGCUACCUCAUCUAUGAAAUACUGGAGUACACGAAGGGCCAAUCCUACAGAUCCAAAGCUGCGGGAUCAAUAUGACUCAAGAAAAAAACGGAAUAUCCUAGAGGAGACCCAGUAAGGAUCCAGUGUUGAUGGUGUAGCAAAAGCCAGAGAGGCCUUAAACCGGACCAAUGACUCAUUGCAAUGAACGUCUGCAGGAGAGGUCACUUGGGCAGAGAGUGGAUACAAGGGAUGGGAGAUGAGUAGGAUUGGGUGCAUUAUGCGAAAGCCACAAAGAAUCAAUAAAAAUUUUUAAAGAACAA